This 460-nucleotide ribosomal RNA is filed under the name uncultured bacterium. Its description in RNAcentral is "bacterial SSU rRNA". It matches the Rfam family "Bacterial small subunit ribosomal RNA", at positions 30 to 504 of the family's 1533-position model. The record is from RNAcentral.
UGAACGCUGGCGGCGUGCUUAACACAUGCAAGUCGAACGAAGUCCAUGGAGCUUGCUCCGGAAGACUGAGUGGCGAACGGGUGCGUAACACGUGAGAAACCUGCCCCGGACUUUGGGAUAACAGUUGGAAACGACUGCUAAUACCGAAUGUCGUCAUUUCCUCGCAUGGGGAUUUGAUGAAAGGUCCGCCGGUCCGGGAGGGUCUCACGGCCUAUCAGCUUGUUGGAGGGGUAAUGGCUCACCAAGGCAUCGACGGGUAGCUGGUCUGAGAGGAUGAUCAGCCACACUGGGACUGAGACACGGCCCAGACUCCUACGGGAGGCAGCAGUGGGGAAUCUUGCACAAUGGGCGCAAGCCUGAUGCAGCAACGCCGCGUGCGGGAAGAAGGCCUUAGGGUUGUAAACCGCUUUCAGUAGGGAAGAAAAUGACGGUACCUACAGAAGAAGGUGCGGCCAACUAC